CCUACGGGAGGCAGCAGUGGGGAAUCUUGCACAAUGGAGGAAACUCUGAUGCAGCGAUGCCGCGUGAGUGAAGAAGGCCUUUGGGUUGUAAAGCUCUUUUGUAGGGGAAGAUAAUGACUGUACCCUAAGAAUAAGGUCCGGCUAACUUCGUGCCAGCAGCCGCGGUAAUACGAAGGGACCUAGCGUAGUUCGGAAUUACUGGGCGUAAAGCGCGCGUAGGCCGUUGAGUUAGUUAAUUGUGAAAUCCCAAAGCUUAACUUUGGAACUGCAAUUAAAACUGCUCGACUAGAGUUUGAUAGAGGAAAGCGGAAUACAUAGUGUAGAGGUGAAAUUCGUAGAUAUUAUGUAGAACACCAGUUGCGAAGGCGGCUUUCUGGAUCAACACUGACGCUGAGGCGCGAAAGUAUGGGUAGCAAAGAGGAUUAGAUACCCUCGUAGUCCAUACCAUAAACGAUGAUUGCUAGAUGUUGGAAAUUUAUUUUCAGUAUCGCAGCUAACGCAUUAAGCAAUCCGCCUGGGGAGUACGACCGCAAGGUUAAAACUUAAAGGAAUUAGACGAA
RNAcentral lists this ribosomal RNA (560 nucleotides) under uncultured bacterium. Its description in RNAcentral is "bacterial SSU rRNA". It matches the Rfam family "Bacterial small subunit ribosomal RNA", at positions 338 to 918 of the family's 1533-position model. The record is from RNAcentral.